This 253-nucleotide ribosomal RNA is filed under the name uncultured bacterium. RNAcentral's name for it is "partial 16S ribosomal RNA". It matches the Rfam family "Bacterial small subunit ribosomal RNA", at positions 524 to 776 of the family's 1533-position model. The record is from RNAcentral.
UACGUAGGGGGCAAGCGUUGUCCGGAAUCAUUGGGCGUAAAGCGCGUGUAGGCGGCUCGGUAAGUCCGCUCUGAAAGCCCGGGGCUCAGCCCCGGGAGGCGGGUGGAUACUGCUGAGCUCGAGUCCGGAAGAGGAGUGUGGAAUUCCUGGUGUAGCGGUGAAAUGCGCAGAUAUCAGGAGGAACACCAAUGGCGAAGGCAGCACUCUGGGACGGUACUGACGCUGAGACGCGAAAGCAUGGGGAGCGAACAGG